RNAcentral lists this non-coding RNA (30 nucleotides) under Mus musculus (house mouse). The record is from RNAcentral. Lineage: Eukaryota; Metazoa; Chordata; Mammalia; Rodentia; Muridae.
UGCUUUUAGUGUUCACUGUAUCCAGGGUCU